AUGGGUAAGUUGGAUGCAACAGUUGGUGAGGGGUGGCCAAACGGCCGCGUAAACUUGAAUGGGGAAGUGGGAGCAUUCUUUAGAAAUCAAAGAGGGGUGCGGCAGGGAGACUCAAUUUCGCCACUUCUUUUCAAUACCUUGGUUGAUGCCCUUGCCUCAAUCCUGGACCAUGCCAAGGAGGCAAGUCAUAUCUCUGGUGUGGCCUCCGGGAUUAUACAUGGGGGCUUGUCACAUUUGCAAUACGCAGAUGACACCAUCAUAUUUAUCAAGAAUUCAGAGCAGGAAAUAUCGAACUUAAAAUUCUUGUCAAUGUGCUUCGAGGAGAUGUCGGGGCUCAAGAUAAACUUUGAUAAAAGCGAGGCAUUUGUAACGGGAGGUGAUUUAGAAUCCCAGCUAAGAGCGGCGCACAUGAUGAACUGUGAAUUAGGGUCCAUCCCAAUGAAAUACCUGGAAAUGCCUAUAUCAUCACAGGCAUUAUCGAUGGGAGAUUUCCAACCUGUCAUGGAUAUGACUGCGGCUAGGGUGGAGCCUUGGCAAGGAAAAAUCCUUGCCUCGGUUGGGAGGCUAGUUCUCAUCAACGAUUGCCUCACAAACAUCCCUAUGUUCAUUAUGGGCUUCUAUCUCCUUCAUGAAGGUACUCACGCAAAGCUGGAAAAGGUGCGAUCCCGCUUCUUUUGGGCGAAGGAGGACGGGGAACAAAAAUACCACCUGGUCAAGUGGGAUAAGAUAUGCGAACCAAAGGAGGUGGGAGGCCUGGGGGUCAUAAACACCAAGGUUCUGAAUUGGUGCCUUAUGACUCAAUGGGCAUGGAAGAUAUUAACGGGGCAAGGGGGUUUGUGUCUCCAAUCUUCAAGCUGA
Molecule: ribosomal RNA, 858 nt
Filed under: Triticum aestivum (bread wheat)
Lineage: Eukaryota; Viridiplantae; Streptophyta; Magnoliopsida; Poales; Poaceae
Description: partial small subunit ribosomal RNA
Source: RNAcentral